CCCACACUCUGCUCCUCCCUCUUUCCUACACGGGUAUUUUGGUUUUGUUAGUUUGAGAGACAUUAUAUACAGACACCACAGAAGUACCUAGAGAAAAGGCGGUUUUCAGGUACCAUUAACACAAGGGCACACAUUUACACAGUCUAUUUUCUCGUUAACGCUAAUGAGGCUGCCUAUCAUUACUUGUAAGGAUGGUAAGGGACAGAGAGGUCUAUAGAAGACAUACCACCUUGAGCCCUUCUAAUUCUGUGGUUCUCAAACUCUAUGGCCUGACCCUCUUUAAUCACCUAAAAACCACAGCCUCGGCCCACCCCUCAAGGAGUUUUUGUUCAUGUGGUUAUAGCUCUUGAUAACGGCCGUAAUGGCCAUAUCAGAAAUCAUGAUGAAGUUGGUGGUGGUGAUACCUCUGAGACUGCAGGUAUCUAUUUUGUAUUUCUGUACCUGUGUUCGUGCUGGUCCUUACCCUACUAACUGAUACUGCAAGGUGAAGAGGACAAGGACGAUCUGGGACCAAAGGGUUCAUGGGCAGGCCUGUAGUCCUGGGGGACUGUGAGGAGGGAGACAAACAGAACUAAGUGGUCAUGUUUAGGUGAAGCUCUGCAGCAAGGUCUGAACUCCAGAGUCAGGACCUCUCGUGUGCCCUCCAUCAGGCAGGGUCAUUUUUAUUCCAGAAUCCCCAGGUACCUUCAGGGUCAAUCAGCUGGCUCUGCAGUCAGAGGGCCUCUGUCACCCACAAGGGGUGACCUGCCUCUGUUUCCUCCUCUGUGUGUUCCUAGACCGGGGAGUUCCCAAAUUCCUGCCCUGCUCUCCAGACCGCCGAAGCAGCCUCAGAGCACAAGGCACAGCAUUUCCCGAGGGCCCCGGCGAUGCUGGGCAAGCUCCAAAAGCUCAUUCUAGAAGAGAGCAACAGCUCCUCACCCUUCCACCCUUAUUUAACCUGUUCCGUGGCCUGGCUGUGCCCCCAGCAGGGCCUAAAGCCAGCAAGUGAGGUGCUUGUGUUGGCUCACCCUGGCUCUGGCAAGUCAGCAGCCCUCCCCCAGCCUGCUCCAGCCCAGACUCGCCUCCUGCUCCAGCACUGACUUUCAGGUUCUUGAACAGCAAAGGCUCUACGUACCCUGGGGGCAUGGAAAAAAAGUACCCAGCACAGGCAACCGCGGCAGGCUCCUGCGCACCCCUGCGGGCAGGGGGUGCCCAAGGGAGGGGCAGCACCCUCAGCUCCCUCUCCCACACCCUGUUCCUGGGAGCUGGCCCAGCCUGCCUCCCUCCACCUGCUCUGACAGCUCCAGCUUCCUUUCCGCUGCCAGGGCACCCUGAUAAGAACACAGGGCACACCUGCUCCUCCCGGCGAGCAUGGCACUGCCCACACUCCAGCCUAUCUCAGGUUGGGGGCGGGGGGAGAUUUUUACAACAGUAAAUUACAACAGUAAUACUGGAAGAAGAAUGGGGUGGGAGGGGGAGAGCCUUGGUCUCGCGUCAUAACCCAGCCCCCAGAGCAUCGGGAACUCGGCCCAAAGUUGGGGAGCCACUGGACCGAAUCCUGGCGCCUCUAGCUACUCUGGGCCUGAGAGCAGGCUGACCCUAGGGAGGAAGGGAAAGCCUUUGGGAAGCGAGAGUAGCCAACGCAAGGUCGCAGCAGGGGCGGCCCCGGUCCGGUCCUCGGGGUCAGGCCCACAGAGGCGUUUUGCAAUAGCAGGGGUUCCUCACACAACAAACGGCGCCUGGCACUGUGCUUGCUGUUGACGAUAUCCAACAGAAAGGAAGCAGCCCCUGCCCUCAAGAAGCUUGAAAAUGAAUGGGGAAAGACAAUAAUAAUAGAACCUAGCUCCCAAAGUCGGAGCGAGGAUCAAAUGAGAGGAUUAUUCCCCAAAAGAAUGUAAGCUCCAUGAAGGCAGGAUUUGGUUCCUUUUUAUCUUCAUGUUCCCGGGCCCCAGCACAGAACGGAUGCUUCACAAAUAUUUGUUGAAUGAAAUGGAAGAACAAUGGGGAAAUGGAAAUAUGAAGGCUUGUGUGGUGAGGAACACCACUGACCAGAUUUUCCUCACUCUAGGAGCCACGGUACUACCUCCUUAUGUGGGAUGACAGAUUUAGGGGAGAGAGGUGUUUCCGAGAUUAUCAGUCCAAGUCCCUAGUUUUUAAGAUGAAGAAGGACCUGGGAAGUAAAGCAAUUUGCUCAGAAUCACACAACUAAAUAUGUGGCAGAGUGGAGACAUGAACCUCCUUUCCAAAGC
Molecule: long non-coding RNA, 2228 nt
Organism: Sarcophilus harrisii (Tasmanian devil)
Lineage: Eukaryota; Metazoa; Chordata; Mammalia; Dasyuromorphia; Dasyuridae
Source: Ensembl